This 497-nucleotide ribosomal RNA is filed under the name uncultured bacterium. RNAcentral's name for it is "partial 16S ribosomal RNA". It matches the Rfam family "Bacterial small subunit ribosomal RNA", at positions 28 to 507 of the family's 1533-position model. The record is from RNAcentral.
GAUGAACGCUGGCGGCGUGCCUAAUACAUGCCAGUCGAGCGAACAGAUGAGGAGCUUGCUCCUCUGACGUUAGCGGCGGACGGGUGAGUAAUACGUGGAUAACCUACCUAUAAGACUGGGAUAACUUCGGGAAACCGGAGCUAAUACCGGAUAAUAUAUUGAACCGCAUGGUUCAAUAGUGAAAGACGGUUUUGCUGUCACUUAUAGAUGGAUCCGCGCCGCAUUAGCUAGUUGGUAAGGUAACGGCUUACCAAGGCGACGAUGCGUAGCCGACCUGAGAGGGUGAUCGGCCACACUGGAACUGAGACACGGUCCAGACUCCUACGGGAGGCAGCAGUAGGGAAUCUUCCGCAAUGGGCGAAAGCCUGACGGAGCAACGCCGCGUGAGUGAUGAAGGUCUUCGGAUCGUAAAACUCUGUUAUUAGGGAAGAACAAAUGUGUAAGUAACUAUGCACGUCUUGACGGUACCUAAUCAGAAAGCCACGGCUAACUACGUG